Molecule: long non-coding RNA, 632 nt
Filed under: Phoenix dactylifera (date palm)
Lineage: Eukaryota; Viridiplantae; Streptophyta; Magnoliopsida; Arecales; Arecaceae
Description: long non-coding RNA (PDAC_LNC003162)
Source: RNAcentral
UACACUGUUCCUUAAUCAAGAUUUAAAGAUACAUGAUAAAAGCAAGAUACAUAUGAGAACUAGAUAUCUAGCCUAGGCUCUAAACAGAAAUGCUAAUAUCAGCCUAGGGAGAAUCUAAUGGCUGGGAUCUAGUCCUCAUCCUCCUAGUGUACGUGGCGAGGGGAGGUCGAGCCUGGUGAGACUGUGUCUGGCGUGGAGCACGACGAGCUGGAUGACUCUGUGCCGAAAUCUCUGACUCAGCAGCCUAUGGCACAGAUGGUCCAUGGGUCUUUCUCUCUCCGGAGUGCUCCUAUCUGCUGCCUCAGAUCACUGAUCUCAGCAGACAUGACGUCCAAUCGGACGUCCAAUCGGCUCAUCAGCCCGUCAGUGAUAGUCCUCGCCUGAGCUGACAUGAGCUCAGUCAUCCUGCUCCAGAACUCAUCCGUAUCACUCGGAGGAACGGAUGACGAUGGUCCAGUCUCUGAAGGUGCAGUAGGAUGAUCCAUAUGCUCCUCAUCCUCAGCCUUUGGUGCAUCUCCCUCUGGUGCCUCACCCUGAAUGCCUGCUCCAGUGUUAAUCCACUGCCCGUUCACUUUUUCAUAUCCCAUGCGUAUAAGUGUCCGUGCAGUGUAUGUGUCAGUAUGAAGCAGACU